UGGACAUAUUAUUGUAUUCGACUGUAUUCACGGCGUAAAAACAGGAGAUUACACUAUUUUUUAAACGGAAAAUGAAUCAAUUAACAUAAUAAAUUUCU
Molecule: microRNA precursor, 98 nt
Filed under: Nicotiana sylvestris (wood tobacco)
Lineage: Eukaryota; Viridiplantae; Streptophyta; Magnoliopsida; Solanales; Solanaceae
Also listed under: 1 other name
Description: MIR6152 microRNA precursor family
Rfam family: MIR6152 microRNA precursor family
Source: Rfam by way of RNAcentral